GUUUUACAGUCGAAAUGGUUUUCUGAAAAAAUCAUUACGUAUUCAAUUAGUCAAUGCAACGACUUCUGAAUUAGUGCGUAUGUAUGGAAUAUCAGUUCCUGAAUUCGCCAAAAGAAAUUUGGGACAGGCUAUUAUUUCAAUAUUUCCUAAAUUGAGAAACCCGUGUGGCCCAACGGGCUACGAAGCCUUUUAUAAAAACGACAAUGGGGGGAAGGUUUUAUUAGUUAUAGGUUACGCUUUAUCGCGAAAAAUUCCAAAGAUGAAGACAUUAGGGCCGCGGUACGCAGAAGGAAGCGCAAAGCUGUUGAAAACGCGUCCGAUGAAGUGAAGGAAAAAAAAGAAGAUUGUAGAAAUACAUAUAAAAACGUAAUAACUAUCACUCCAGAAAUUUCUGAUUGUGUGGAAUUUCUGAGAAACGCUUCUCCUCAAACAGACCAAGAAGCAAUCUUGGACAGAAUGAAAAAAACGUUCACUUAUAGGCGGUCCUUGGAUGUUAAUGUUUUAUCAAUCUUUCCGAGAUUUCUGGACACUCCAUAUCUUAUUGAACACGAUUUUCGAUUACUUUUUCCUGAUAAAGAACUCAGUUUUAUUGCCAAAAUAAACAAUGAUGCAGAGAAAAUUCUAAGUAUAUAUGAUAGUGAAGUAGCCACACCUGCCACAGAAAUAUUAGGUUCGACGGAAGGUUCAA
Tribolium castaneum (red flour beetle) is the source of this 688-nucleotide RNA transcript. RefSeq lists it as uncharacterized. The transcript is spliced from 3 exons. Lineage: Eukaryota; Metazoa; Arthropoda; Insecta; Coleoptera; Tenebrionidae. The record is from RefSeq and is a predicted model, not a curated record.